This 253-nucleotide ribosomal RNA is filed under the name uncultured bacterium. RNAcentral describes it as "partial 16S ribosomal RNA". It matches the Rfam family "Bacterial small subunit ribosomal RNA", at positions 524 to 776 of the family's 1533-position model. The record is from RNAcentral.
UACGGAGGAUCCAAGCGUUAUCCGGAAUCAUUGGGUUUAAAGGGUCCGUAGGCGGUUUGGUAAGUCAGUGGUGAAAGCCCAUCGCUCAACGGUGGAACGGCCAUUGAUACUGCCAGACUUGAAUUACUAGGAAGUAACUAGAAUAUGUAGUGUAGCGGUGAAAUGCUUAGAUAUUACAUGGAAUACCAAUUGCGAAGGCAGGUUACUACUAGUGGAUUGACGCUGAUGGACGAAAGCGUGGGUAGCGAACAGG